CGUGUAGGCGGUCGGGUAAGUCAGAUGUGAAAUCCCUUGGCUUAACCAAGGAAGGGCAUUUGAAACUGCCCGGCUUGAGUACGGGAGGGGGAAGUGGAAUUCCCGGUGUAGAGGUGAAAUUCGUAGAUAUCGGGAGGAACACCGGUGGCGAAGGCGGCUUCCUGGACCGAUACUGACGCUGAGACGCGAAAGCGUGGGGAGCAAACAGGAUUAGGAUACCCUGGUAGUCCACGCCGUAAACUUUGGGCACUUGGUGUUGCGGGUAUUGACCCCUGCAGUGCCGAAGCUAACGCAUUAAGUGCCCCGCCUGGGGAGUACGGCCGCAAGGUUAAA
This 333-nucleotide ribosomal RNA is filed under the name uncultured bacterium. RNAcentral describes it as "bacterial SSU rRNA". It matches the Rfam family "Bacterial small subunit ribosomal RNA", at positions 568 to 898 of the family's 1533-position model. The record is from RNAcentral.